AUAGUUUGAUACUGGCUCAGAACGAACGCUGGCGGCAGGCCUAAUACAUGCAAGUCGAACGAACCCUUCGGGGUGAGUGGCGCACGGGUGAGUAACACGUGGGAAUCUACACCAAGGUACGGAAUAACUGUGGGAAACCGCCGCUAAUACCGUAUAAUAUCUCCGGAUCAAAGAUUUAUCGCCUUGGAAUGAGCCCGCGCUUGAUUAGAUAGUUGGUGGGGUAACGGCCUACCAAGUCGACGAUCAAUAGCUGGUCUGAGAGGAUGAUCAGCCACACUGGUACUGAGACACGGACCAGACUCCUACGGGAGGCAGCAGUAAGGGAUAUUGGACAAUGGGCGCAAGCCUGUUCCAGCCAUGCCGCGUGAGUGAAGAAGGCCCUCGGGUUGUAAAACUCUUUCAGUAGUGAAGAUGAUGACGGUAACUACAGAAGAAGCUCCGGCUAACUUCGUGCCAGCAGCCGCGGUAAUACGAAGGGGGCGAGCGUUGUUCGGAAUCACUGGGCUUAAAGCGUAUGUAGGCGGAUUGGAAAGUCAGAAGUGAAAUCCCGGGGCUCAACCCCGGAACUGCUUUUGAAACUUCCAGUCUAGAGUCCCGGAGAGGUUGGCGGAAUUCCGAGUGUAGAGGUGAAAUUCGCAGAUAUUCGGAGGAACACCAGUGGCGAAGGCGGCCAACUGGACGGGAACUGACGCUGAGAUACGAAAGCGUGGGGAGCAAACAGGAUUAGAUACCCUGGUAGUCCACGCUGUAAACGAUGUGUGCUAGUUGUCGGGGUCUUUAGGCUU
RNAcentral lists this ribosomal RNA (785 nucleotides) under uncultured Alphaproteobacteria bacterium. RNAcentral describes it as "bacterial SSU rRNA". It matches the Rfam family "Bacterial small subunit ribosomal RNA", at positions 8 to 840 of the family's 1533-position model. The record is from RNAcentral. Lineage: Bacteria; Pseudomonadati; Pseudomonadota; Alphaproteobacteria.